CCAAAGGCUUUAUAAUAUGAUCAUACAUUAUGGAAACAUAUUCACAAUAAUGUAGAGUGAGUAAAAUCACAAUAACUAAUCAUACAUUGUGAAAACGCAUUACACCAGUGUAGAGUGGAUAAAAUAAUCACAUGGAGUCAUAUACUGUGGAAACGCAUUCACACAAGUGCAGAUUAGGGUAAAAUCACCUGGAUAUUUUCUAGUGGUUUAAAAAACAACUUUAGAUAAACUGAAAUAUGUAAUGCGAAUAUAACAUGUUAAAAAAAUGAUUUAAAUGUACUAAAUUUAACUUUAAAAAGAAUUGACUAUAAAAUCCACUUCAUUCUAAAAAUUAUACUGUCAAACCAAAUAUAUGAAAUAAUUAAUUUUCUGAUUUAAUAUAAAUUUAGUAAAUACUAAUUUCUAAAAAAAUAAGUUUUUAUCCACUCGCUCAAGAUAAGUUACAGGCUAUAAAGGCCGAUAAGUUUUUCCAAACUUUCACAUUACUACCUAAAAUAACUAUAUAAUUACUCAAAUUAAAAACUGACAAUUAUAUUAAUACAAAUCUCCUGCUUAACUUUUUAACUUCUAUAUUUACUCUUGCAUCUCCAUUUUCCCCAACUUUUCUGCUCUUUCAUUAAUUACCAACCAAUCAUUACAUAUAAUCAAUUCCAUUAAAUUACUAUAUUUUCUUAAAAUCACUAACUUGUACAUAAACAACAAUCCCUGUACAUAUGCUCUUCACCCCUGACUCCUGGAAGGCACAUCCUGCGAUUGACCUCCUCCACGAUGGCCCGGGUCGGUGGGCCCUUAAAGUUGGGGUUCAACCUUUUUUUUUUUUUUAACUUAAUCCACCUAGAUUUCAAUAUAUAUAUAUAUCAUCUAGUCUCAUUCAAGCUUGUAAAAUCUUUAAAAAAUCAAAAUUUGACAAAAACAGCACUAAAAUUUCAUAAUAUUGAAAUCUGGCACUUGCUUCUGCUUUCAAAUUUAUCAUCAAAACCAUUAACAGAAAUAGCACUUUUCUGGAAGAAUUCCAGAAAUGGCACCUGUCUCCCAAUAGCUUGAAAAUUGCUUAAAAAAUGGAGAAUUCAAAUCCCAAAUCCUUGGUCAAAGUGUCUAGCAUCAUAUAAUCACAAGAAUUUCAAAGCAUAUAUCUUUAUCUCACAAACCUAUUUUCAAAGUUCUACUUUCUUCAACUUCAAUAUUCAAAUAGACAUAUUUUUUUGCUAUAUAACUUCAAAUACAUAUCAAUAAUACCUAAUUCUAACUAAGUUUUGAAUUGAAACAAAUUUUCCAUAAACCCUAAGAAAAUUUAAUUCAAUACUUAUCCUUACCUCUCUAAUUCAAAUGAN
Molecule: long non-coding RNA, 1331 nt
Filed under: Olea europaea (common olive)
Lineage: Eukaryota; Viridiplantae; Streptophyta; Magnoliopsida; Lamiales; Oleaceae
Description: long non-coding RNA (OEUR_LNC003229)
Source: RNAcentral